This 78-nucleotide small RNA is filed under the name Escherichia coli. RNAcentral's name for it is "partial RtT sRNA". It matches the Rfam family "RtT RNA", at positions 1 to 76 of the family's 130-position model. From Rfam's summary of the family: This family represents a bacterial cis-regulatory element known as RtT RNA. The exact function of RtT is unknown although it is thought that it may be involved in changing the cellular response in relation to amino acid starvation. The record is from RNAcentral. Lineage: Bacteria; Pseudomonadati; Pseudomonadota; Gammaproteobacteria; Enterobacterales; Enterobacteriaceae.
AUUCUGCCCAAGCGGGGAAGGAUGAGAAGCUUCGACUAAGGUUCGACUCGAGCGCCAGCGAGAGAGCGUUGCCGCAGG